Molecule: ribosomal RNA, 624 nt
Filed under: uncultured rumen bacterium
Lineage: Bacteria
Description: bacterial SSU rRNA
Rfam family: Bacterial small subunit ribosomal RNA
Source: RNAcentral
GAGUACGUCGCAAGAAUGAAACUCAAAGGAAUUGACGGGACCCGCACAAGCGGUCGAGCACGUGGUUUAAUUCGAAGCAACGCGAAGAACUUACCUGCUCUUGACAUCUGCUGACCAUCCGGGCAAUGCCGGACUCUCUUCGGAGCAGCAGAGACAGGUGGUGCAUGGUUGUCGUCAGCUCGUGUCGUGAGAUGUUGGGUUAAGUCCCGCAACGAGCGCAACCCUUGUCCUUAGUAGCCAGCGGUCCGGCCGGGCACUCUAGGGAGACUGCCGGGGACAACCCGGAGGAAGGUGGGGAUGACGUCAAAUCAUCAUGCCCCUUAUGAGCAGGGCUACACACGUGCUACAAUGGCGUAGACAAAGGGAAGCGAAGGAGCGAUCCGGAGCGAAUCCCAAAAAUAACGUCCCAGUUCGGAUUGUAGUCUGCAACUCGACUACAUGAAGCUGGAAUCGCUAGUAAUCGCGAAUCAGAAUGUCGCGGUGGAGACGUUCCCGGGUCUUGUACACACCGCCCGUCACACCAUGGGAGUCGGUAACGCCCGAAGUCAGUGACCCAACCGGAAGGAGGGAGCUGCCGAAGGCGGGAUCGGUAACUGGGGUGAAGUCGUUAACAAGGUAACCUUA